AGAAAGGAGCUGUCCGGAUAUGGACGGCAGACAACACAUGCUCAAUAGCUGAGGAAAUUAAUGAGGAGGCGUUACUUGUUCUAUGCAUCUUUCAAUUUCAGUGCCUAACACUCGUGUCCUAUGCAAACUUUUUUUUUUUCCUGCGUCAACGCUUUUAUUUCUCCUGUUAUAAAGGGUCUAUAUCUCAAACCCUUUUAUCCCAUAUCCCUAGUUUAAAUUCUCGAUACUAUCUUAAAAGUCAUACUGCCAGACCGUGUAGGUAAACAACUUUUAUUUUUCUCAUUCAAACUUUUAUUUGCAAUAUUUAGGAAGCAAGUUGAUUAUGAUCACAUGUGUGAAAUGUGAUAUCUCACAUUUAAUAGAAGAAAUCUUCAUGAUUUCUUUUUAAUCUUAAAAACGCGUUUUAAAAUUAUGAUGACACAUCAAAUGUAUAAUAGACAAUAUUUACAUAAUUGAAAACGAGAUAUUACAAAUGAUAUUUGAUCUCGAUGUAAAGUUUUAUUUGAUCUCGUGUAAUUAUAUGGAAUAUAAUACGAAUGUUGUAUUAAAAGAAAAAAUUAUUAAAACUACAUAUAUAUUUAUAGAGUUUCUUAAUAUUAUAGAUACGUUUUGAAGUUAUGAAAACCUAUUAAACUCAUAAUGGACAAAAUAUCUUCCAAUAGGGAGCACAUGGUUAUGUGAAACAUAAAUAAUAUAUGUUAAAUUGACUUGGCAUAUGCAUGAAGAAAUUUUCAUUUCUCCACAAUGUGAAGGGGCUACUUACCCGAUGAGAGAUAUAUUACAGGGUUGUAGCUCAAAUCGAAUGGAGUUGACGUAUAUUAGUAAGACAUCAUUGUUCAAAGGUAUAAAUUAUUAGGUAAAAGUGAGCUAUAAAGGGUAACAAGGUAAUUUGGCAAAGGUCUUGACAAUACAUUGGUCGGUUUGGAAAUUACUCCCAUGCUUCGUGCAUAUUAACAAAUUUUCGUCUUAUUACUUUGGUCGAAAUUCCACGCGUUCCCGAGAAUCAAUCUUUAUAUUCUAAAGGUGGAUUUAAUAUUGGUCAAGUUCACGUUCAAAUCUGUCAUGACAAAGCCUGUCUCCGCUGAAAUGGUAAACACGUCCAUUGAUAAGUGCCCAAUAGCACAUGCAAAAAAAUAAGCUAAGAUACCCUAGUGAGAAAAUUAAUGCUGUGUCCCACAUUAGAGUUACACGGGGGGGGGAUGGUUCCGGUAACAUCUGAAAGCUACAUGGGUGGUCCAAUUAUAAGUACAUGCAUGUAUGUAGUGGAGACCAGAUGGGUCGCCUCUCCCCCACCUUGGUGUUUGAUGUGUUGUUUGGUAACUGGGAAAAGUUUUGUUCGAUUUAGGGGUUGUGGUUCACUCAAUCUGAAUAUCUAGUACAACAAGCUGUUGAAGAACGCUUAAAUCACGCGUGGAUCAUGAGAUAGUGGCUUACAGGGCUGCUUGUACUCAGUGAUGAUGUAACGAGUUUGGCUUGGUGUUGAAAAUCUUUAACGUUGGCCCAGUAGUAUCCGAGUAGUGCUUGAAUGAUCUUUUUCUCAAGGCCACUGAGAUUUCUUAGAGAAAAAACGAUAUCCUAUUAUGGUAAAACCCAAGACAAAGAAGCACAGGGGGCCUAUUCAAUGUUGAAAUAUGAGUUGGAGAAAUGAAUAGGAAACCUAACAAACAAUAAUAAGGAUAAUAAGUUCAAAAAAGCUGUCAAUUGCUACAUCAUAUAUUUCCUCUUUUGCUUAAUAAUCUUUAGGCUCCAGCAAGUGAAGAAUUCUCCACUUAAGGUGCCCAGACUGCCUCUUUUCUUUUUUUUUUAAAUGCAUGUCAUGACUGGGAAGGAGAGGGCCAAAAGCCAGAAGCCUCCCCCCUGGUGGUUGGCUGUCUCUAUUAAUAUUCAUUUCCAAUAUUUGAGUACUGUUCAUGAUCAUAACAAGUACAUAUAUAUAUAUAUCAUAUGCCUACACUAUCUUCAUCUGCUUUAUCAAUGUUUGAUAAUUUUUGUGUACAGUACGUAGAAAGAUAUAUGCCUUGCAGGGUUUGUAAACAUUUCAUCUUUUUUUAUUAAGUUUGUUCAUUAGCAGAUGAGAAACAUAUUUGCACUUCAGGAUAUGCCCAAACCAAAUGAUAAUUGAGGCUUCAGCUAAAUGACAUAUCUUCUUAUGAAACGCUUGAGAACCCUAAAAAGAAACUAAUGGUCUUGAAAUGGCAGUUGACAUCUUUUAAGAUUUGGCAGAAACGUUAAUAAGAAAUUUGACUAAGUGGGUUAAGGGAUCUCCUCAAAUCUGCCCUUCACAUGCUGGGUUUAGGUUGAUCACAUACACAAUAAGCUGAAGAGUUGCAGGAGAGAGGAAAUCUUUUAGAAAAAUGGCAAACUAGUUUUAGGAAGAGUGGUCUUUUUAAAGCAGAUUCGAGUUGAAAAAUGAUUCAUAUACGACAGAAGGAGAGUAAUCAAUCUGUGCAUCAAAACUUUCUUGUUGAAGAUCAGACACGAGGGCCCUAAGUAGAUUCACGUGAAAAUGAAUAGAGGAACACAUCACUUAUGACGCCUUUGAAACCUCAUAUUGCAAGGAAAGACAAUGUGUCAAUUAUUAAGUAUUUUACUGAUAGGAGAUGAAGAACUUUACACAGGCACUCUUGAACAACUAAUUUUCCUUCAAGGAAUGGCCACGGAGCAAGAUAAAAUUUGAAUUCAUAUUCAAUAGAUAAAUAAGGGAAAUAUUGCAAAUCAUAGGGAGAGGUCACCCCCAUGACAUUUCCGUCAAACUAAUGUUCAUGUUAAAUAAUUAAUUUUUUUUAAAGUUUAAACUUAUAAGAUUUAGACUCAAUAUGCAUAUUAUGGCCUUUGACAAAUACAUUGUGAAAUGAUUAAUGUAUUCAAUCUGAUAAUUUGUUGGUUGUACGUGAUACGUAGUAUAUAUUGAUAUAACAAUACCUUAAAAACCUUUAUACUAAAAAAUGUAAAUAGCCAUGCAAUCUAAUUUUAGUAUGGUUGAAGAUGUGAGAUUAUUGAAAUCUUUAAGAAUAAAUUAGACUAAUUACAAUAGUCAAGGAAAUAUGUGAAUCUUAAUUAUAUUUAGGUUUCGGUCAAUUUGGGUUUAGAAAGUUUACAGUUACUAUUGAGUAUUCAACUAUAAUCAAUGAGAGUUAGAAAGCAAAUGUACCAUAAGGGAAUCAUUUAAAAUGAAAUGACCAAAGCAUUACGUUAUUGUCCUCUUUUCUUGGCAUGGCAUGUGCUAAGAGCUCACGCUUUGGCUUCAUCCUUAUCCACAAGACGCAUGAUUACCUGCAGAAACACAUAUCAUUGUUCAUGGUCAAAGGGAAUCAUAUGUUUUUGAAACAAAUUCAAAGGUCUUAGUAUGGUUGCCAUUUAAAAUUUCAGCACAAGAUACAUGUAUCUUUGAAUUCAUCAUCACAUUCUUUCUUAGACUCCAAAAAAAUUUGAUGGUAUUUCAUUUUUUGGAGUGCCGACCAAGAUUGACUGGACCAUAACCCAUAAAAAAUUUCACUUCUUACUUGUUGAAACAACCCUUCUUCACUCUAUUUGAUUUAGAGUCCUAGACCUUGCUUUGUUGGAGACCAGAAAUCAGUGCUAGCUAGCACCCAUACCCCAUGCAUGCAAAGUUCAAUGUUCCUAGGCAACAAUCUAUACAUAAACCCAGGUGUUUGGUGCUGGCCAUCAAGCUGGCCUCUGAUUUCAUAAAACAUAUCAUUAGUCCCUAGACUUCUCUAACGUAAACCCAGGUGUUUGGUGCUGGCCAUCAAGCUGGCCUCUGAUAUCAUAAAACAUAUCAUUAGUCCCUAGACUUCUCUAACGUAAACCCAGGUGUUUGGUGCUGGCCAUAAAGCUGGCCUCUGAUUUUAUAAAACAUUUCAUUAGUCCCUAGACUUCUCUAACGUAAACUAUGAAAUUUUUUAGCAUUUCAUUUCUUUGUUUAGUUGACUAGGAUUUAGAUGUAAGCAUGUGAUAUAAUAUGAAUUGCAGAUACAAUCGAGUCUUAGUGCAGUAAUGCCAUCUGCAAAUGUAGCUUGAAAUAUGGACAUGCCUUGCUGUGAGUGAGCAUAGAGAGGGAAUUAUGUCACAAUACAUCCACGCAAAACCGUGGAUUAUGUGGCCUCAAGUCUUGCUAGGUAGGGCACUCUACUAAGAACUUGUCUCAGCCUUCAGAAGCAGUUUGUGUUUAAUAUUCGACGCACUAAUUACAGCAGCAUGAUCAGAGGCUAUGUUGCUUGAAUUUAAUUAAUAUCCACCAAGCUAUGGUGCUGCCCCUCUGCUUAAUUAAAAAGGUAGGGCUUGUUCAGAUAACGGGUCGCGCUCAGAGCUCGCUGGCAUUGAUCCUACUAACUAAUAUUCAAAAAAUAUGAUAAGUGUAUAUGUGUGUGUCGUUUUUUUGGGGGGGUUGUCAAGGGAUAUGAAUGCCUCCUCCCAAACCUCACAUGGCUCUUAUGGGAGGGCUCAUAGGCUUACUGAUUCCUGGGUAAUUGCAUUUAUUUGUAGCUAGCUAGAGAAUGCUGUCUAGGCAUAUAAACACAUGGCUGUCAUAAAAGGACCUCGUAGGCUUGUAAAAUCCCAUACUAGCGCCGUUGGUAGGACAAUCAAAAGGGAUUCCAUUCAAGAAAUGUCACUGCAAUUCCAACUUGACUUGUUUCAUUAACGCCCACAACAAAUUUUAAACCUCCAACUUACGUGGAAAAAACUUAAGGUAUUGAUCCAAACUCUCCAAUUUUGCAAAGAAAUGUAAAAAUUUUAGACCGAUGAAGGUAUAAAUAAUAAAGAUAUUAAUACAAUACAAUAUAAUUUCGGGUGAAGUGCCGAAUAAAAUGUACUCCUUUGAGAGUUGAUCUAGGGUGACAGGUCACAAUCUGACCUAUACCUAUAAAAUUUUGCCUAGAUGAUGCCUGAUGGGCACCCAAAAGGCAUUUCAUCAGUGUAAAGAAUCCAAUGAGUUGAUGCUGCCUGCCUGCCUAUGAGUCUGUUGAGCUCAUAGUUUCUGUUGAUGUCGCUCUAAGUAAACGAACUUUGGGUCUAGGCAUUGGGCUUUGCCGCUUUGGAGCUAGGCUUUGAAGAUGUUUGCGGCUAAUGGCCUGCACGAUCUUCAUAAAAAGUGUUUCUUUCUUUCUUUAUUUCUUUCUUUUUCACCAACAUAUAUUUUUAUCCGAUUUGAAUUAUGUGAUGGGAUUAUCGAAUUUUAGCUAUUUAAUGAUUGAAAAUUAGAAAUAUCAUAUUUUUGAAUAAAUAUCACGAUUUGGAAAGAGUAAAAAAGCACCCAUUUUUGGGGAUAAGCAAAAUAACAAAAAUAAUAAUACAUGUUAAGUUUUAGGAUAUGUUUGGUUUUAAAAAAGUUUAAGACUAUGUUUGGUUCGGAUAAAGUUUGAGGGAAAACAAAUGAAAGAAAAUGGAGAAAAAAAAAAAAGUAGAAUGAAAGAAAAAGUAAAAAUAAAAAAUAAAUUUAAAAUAAAUAAAUUAUUUUCAUUUUCUACUUUUAACUUAUUUUAUUUAUUUAACUGUUUUAUAUAAAGAUUAAGUAAUUUAAAAAUAUCUUAGUUUCCCACUAAUUUUAAUUACAUUCAACUUUCUUUGGUAUUUUCCAUUAAUAAAUUAAAUAUGAAAAAAUAAUUUUUCUUAGUAAUUUUUUUUCACUUUUAAUUAUUUCUAGGAAUCAAAUAUAACCAAAGAGAAUACGUAAGAGAAAGAAAAAAAACAGCUAAUGAAAAUAAAAAAUAGUUUUAAAAUCAAUAAAACUAACUUUUAACUCUUUCUUACCAGGAUUAAAUAAUUUAAAAACGUGUAAGUUUUUUUUAUUAAUUUUAAUUAUAUUUGACUUUCGAAGGAGAAUGGAUGUUUGAUGGUUAAUUAACUUGCAAUUUGAACCAAAGCUCAAAAUAAAACAUAAUCUCCUCACGGGCCCAAGAAUAAUAACAUGGUACUAUUUUACCUAUUUUAUAAAUUCAUCUAUGUUGCAUGUUGCUUAACAUUAUGCAAUUUUUAAAUUUUUAUUAUUAUUUCUAUUUUAUAAACUCAUCCAUCACUCAUUUUCUUAUUAUUUUUAAUUUUUUUGUCUUUUAUAAAAAAAAAAAACGUAUAAAAUUUUUAUUUUUUACAUAAACAUUAGAAUUAUAUAUUUUUUUUUAUGAAAAAUGAAUAACUAACAUUUGAAAAAUUUUAACAAUGAAUAAUAACAUUUAAAAAUAUUCACACAAAUUUUUAUCUACUACACAAUAUAUAUUUAAUUAUAAGGAAUAAAUAUAAAAUAAAUGGAUAAUAAUUAUUUCCCUAAAUAAUAUAAUGAUAAAUUUUGUAUAUAAUAAAAAAUGCAUUUUUUGUUUGUUAAAAGUUGAUGAUAUUCUACUAUAAAUUAUAAAAGGUAGUAGAUAUUAAUAUUUAAUAAAUCUAUAACUUGUAUUUAUUUGUUAAAAAUAAAUAAUAUUUUGAUAAAUGAUAAGUAAUAAUAGUAUAAUAUUUUAUUUAAAAUAAUUAGAAAAAUAAAUACAAUUUAUUUUUUAAAUAUAUAAAUAAAUCAAAUUUCAUCAUUACAUGUAUGCAUUUACUUUCAAUUACAAUCACAAUAUUUUAGACCAAUUUGGUCUAACUUCUCAUAAUAAUUUAUAUAAUUUUCUAGUUUUAAAUCAUUUUUAAAACCAAUUAGAAUAUUUAAUGAAUCAAAUGCUUUAAGUGUCAUAUGAUGUGAGUGCCUAGUUUAAAAUUUCAAAAUAAAAAAUAUUGUUAUAUAUAAAGGAAAAAUUAACACAAUCAUUUGGACUAGUUUUGGUAGAAGAAAAUUUUAUAUUAGUUAGUCUAAUUUUUAAGUUCUAAAUUAUUUCUAUAGCUAGUUAAGCUCAUUAAGGAAUUCAAUGUAUCAAGUCUCGUUUGAUUUAUAACCCAUUUGUUUAAUAAGAAAAUUUAAGUAAUGAACUCAUUGAGUGAGGUACAAGUUUUUGCUCAAAACCCGAAUUUAAUUUAAUUCAAGUUUUAUUAAAAAUAAAAAUAAUUUUGUAAUAACAAAUAAAUAAAAAAAAUAAAACAGUUUUUAAUAUAAUACGCAUAAUAAUAUUACAAUAAAAUCAUAAAUUAUUAUUUUUAUAAAUAUUAUAAAAAUAUAUAUAUUCGCAUCUAUUAGCCCAAAGGUUCUCCUAAUUAUGUUUUAAUGAUAACAAAUCAUGAUUAAAUUGUUAAUUGGUUUGAAUUAUAACAAAUUUCAAGUUUUAGUUUAGAAACUCAAAAGGACAUUUGGGAAAUUUAUCAAGGGACUAAAUAGAUACAAGAUAAAAAUAAAUGGAAGACUUUUUAAUAAUAAGAAACAUACGUAAGAUGAAUGCAUAAAUGCACUUAGGAUUUUCAUAUCUUUUCAUCCAUUUUUAAAAACUCGAUUUAUGCAUUAAAGUUAUAUUUCCAUUAAACCCAAGUUUUAUCAAAUGAAUCUUAGGCAAAUCAUUUCAAAAUUGGCAUACUCAUUGACCUAAAGAUCUUACCUAAGUGUUAGAAGUGAAAAGAAUGGAAAAAUAUAGGUUUUUGGGCAAAAAAUGGUGAAUUGAUCGAGGGACUGACCAGUCAACUUAACCAGUUAAGGUACCAAUCGACUGGUUAUGCCUUCCAAGUCGAGAGAUGUAAAAAUAUUCUCUUUCUUCCGAUAGUCUUUCAUUCUCGCUUGAUGGUUAUGUAUUUUCGGUCGAGGCCUAGUCAAAUCUUAGUCGAGUCUUAAUCGAGGCCUAACAGUCACUUGUCAUGCAUUUAUUGUCCAACCGCUAGUCAAUCGGUUGACCCCUAACUCAAUCGGUCGAAACUAUUUUUUGGCAUUUUGGCUCCCGAGACUAGAAAUUUAUAAAUUGAGAACUCUACUUCAUUUAUAAAUAUUAAAACACCUGCAUUUAUUUGUUUAUCUACAUGUUCUUAACUCAAAAGUUCUCAUUCUUUCCUUGGUGCAUUAAAUCUCCACUUACAUAUUCCUUAGUAAACCCUUAUGAUUCUUCCUAACCUUUGAGUUGCAUUUAAGUCAUUGUUGAGGUAGGUUGAUAAACUUAAAUCUAGAUUUGAGUGUUCUUGUGAGAGUUAGAAGUUUCAAGUGAGUAAAGACUUGAAAGAAUGGUGUUAAGUGCCCAUUGGAGCCGAAAUUCAAGUGUAAAGAUGUUAAAAGUUUGGUUAAAACUUCAAGUAUAGUGGAACUCUCACUUGGUUAAGAACUUGAGGAGAGUGGACAUAGGCAAGAGGUGUCAAACCACUAUAAAAUAUGAGUUUAUUAUCUCUAUCUUUAUAUUUGUCCUUCUUUUGCUUGAAUUUAUUGUGUUUGAAAAAAAAAAUUUAAACCUAAUUCACCCCACCUCUUAGGUGUUUUUCCUAUUAAGAUUAGCCUUAAUUUUCUCAGCAUCCUCAUAAGCAUAAUUGAUUUAUUUUUAAAAAUAAUAAUUGCUAAUACUAUUUUAUUUUAAAAAUAAAUAGAUUUUAAUUUUUUAAAGGUGUCAAUAAGCCAAAAUUUUCAUGAUAUGCAUAUAUAUUCUAAAAUUUUGUAUUUAAUUUACAAUUAAUUAAUUAAUUUUUUAAUUCUAAAUUAUUCUUAAAAAAAUAGAAGAGACAUUAAAGAAUUUAAAGCAUUUAUUAUGACAUACUUAAUUCAGAAUCUAAUUACCUAGUGAUAAAACUUAGAAAAUGUAGUUAUGUGUAUAUGGAAAAUAGUAAAUUAUGAUUCAUAAUAUAUUAAUUUUGGUUUAUUAUUUUUUUUAGUAAUUAUAUAUAUUUUUGAGUUUUAAAUUAUUUUCAAAAAAAACAUUAAACUUAUUAAUAAAUUUAAUACAAAUUCUAGCUUAAUUUGAAACAUAUUUUUCUAAUGAGAAAAACAAAAAAUUUCUGGAUUUGAAAUACAUUUCUCUAAUGAAAAAAACAAAAAAAGUUCUUUAUUUUUAUUUUUAUAAAUUGUUUUUAGAGAAUAACAACCAAACAAUGUUAUAAAUUUUUUAAAAUAUUUUUUUUAAAAUAAAAAAUUAUUUUACAUAUAAUGUGAAAAAAAAAAUUAAGUGAAAAAAAAAAUCAUUUUAAAUUAUAUAUAUGAAUAUUAUUAUCAAUUUAUUUAUUUAUUUCUUUUGUUACCUAACAACAAAUAUUCAUUUUCCUAAAUAUAUCCAAACACAAGACCUAAAUUAACCAUAUUGAUUGAUAUUAAAGAAGAAAUGGGAAUGGAAACAAAAUUUUUAUUUUCAUAUUUUUUUCUCAUGUAUCAAACAUUGCUCGAGUGUCUUUGGCUUUGAGAUAUUGAUGUUAGAGCUGAAAUCCCUUCAACUAAAUCGUUUUGCAGUGAAGCCCUUUUGGCAUGUAAUAGAUAUGAACCACCAAAUUGGGUUCCAUAACUUCCAUUGGCUUAGGAGGUUUUCCUGGACGAAAAGAUUUCCAUAGCCACUUGUUGAUUUAAAUAAUAUAGGUAAGAGUAAGACAAACGGCCAACAGGGGAUGUAGCUCAGAUGGUAGAGCGCUCGCUUAGCAUGCGAGAGGUACGGGGAUCGAUACCCCGCAUCUCCAUUGUUGUUUUUAUUUUGCUUCUGCGGUUCUUUACGACCCACCAAUACUGAUCAUUCUUCAUAACCACAUCUUCAGAGAACUGGGCCCAUUUUCAAGAUGGGUGGGUGAAUUGGUUUUAAUGCCCUUAGGGCUCAUAGGCUGGGACACACCAAUCAUACAAUCAGUUGUAUUCCCAUGGUUAGAACGGUAGCUGGGUCUAGGCAUAUGCCAGAGCAAAUGGGCAAAGAACUACUCAUCAAUCAACUUGCUGGCUUCUUCUGCUGCCACAUCUAAGUUGGACCAGUAUAUGGUGUAAAAUGUCUUUUAUUUUGUUUUAGUAUCAUUCUACUUACCUUCUUUCCCUCGUUUUCAAGCUUAAUCCUGUGUAAAAUGUACUAUCAUGAUGGUAUUGGGGUGAGCAUUUGGGAACUGAAUUGAAGCAAAAUCAUCAGGAGAUGGCGAAAAAUGAAAUUGAAUUUCUUGGUAAGAGAUUAUAUUAAUUAUGGAAGGAAUUAGGCAGCUUGGACAAUAAGACUGCAAGGGGAGUUCAGAAUAAUAUUUAGUAUAAUACAAAAGGAAUUUCCAUCAUUCCUGUAGUUGUUAUGUGGGAAGAUCUACAUUCAAUAAUUCUUUCGAAAGUACAAUAACUCAUGCGCCUAAGAUGUCAUCUUUAUUUGAUGGAUGAGAGGAUAUGAAAAUUCUAACAUGAAAAGAGGAAUCCAGAAUGAGAUGAAGCAGUUGGGGUAUUACAGGCUGAGAUUUAAGUCAAGCUUAUGUUGAUCAGAUGCUUGACUGGGCAGUUUGUCCACAUGAAAGCUUCCUGGCCAGAUUGAGUCCAUUGCUUCUUCCAUCACAAAGGGUGUCCAAGCCAUCCUGAAUCCUGUGUUGGGAUCAUUAAAUCUUGCUGCCACUUCAGUCCCUUCUCGGCCUGGCUUGUGCGCAAGAGAGUGAGGCUGGGCACCCAGUGAUCGGAUUGUUAAAGAGUUAAGGGGAAACCCCAUGGUUGCCAUCAUCAUCCUGUGAGAUUGGUACCUUUUAGCUGCUCCCCUUUCUCUUUUGUGUGCAUUCUGAUGACCCCCUAGAGCUUGUGAACUGAAGAACUUCCUCAUGCAGAAAUUGCAUGAGAAAAUUUUGUUACCAGCUGGUUUUGAUUGAGGAUCGCCAUCUCCAGUUGUGAAGGCCUCAUUUCUGCUGAGGCUUAAACUCAACCACUCUCCUAAAUUAUCAUCUCCAGAUGUUUUUUCAUCAUCGGAUCUUGUCUUUGAUUCAGCAUCUUGGUUGUUGCUUGAUACCUCAUUUGCCUCUUCCUCCCUCUGGCUGAUCGUCAUUGCACUAGCUACCACUCCCAAGCUAUACGGUUUAUGGGCAGUUGGAGACUUGGGGUAGAGCUUAAAGAAAUGGUGUUGUAGGGAGAAAUUAGGGAGGGAUUUUAAUGGACGGGAAGGGAGGUAUCUUAAGGGAACGGCAGCGACAGUGGAUAUUAUUAAAUUUAUCCCAUAAUGUUCCCACCUAGUGAUGCUUGGUUUUUUAAGAGGCAAUGCUUAUGUCACAUUUUACUGUUGGCAUCUCCAAGCUUCGGAUUCCCUGGUCUUUUUUAUUCUCUUCCUUGCCUCUAAAUGACAUCAUCAACUGCAUGAUUCUUUCCUGGAGAGGAUUUAUAUAACAGAAAAUUAACUAUAUACGCACACUGCCAUUAAUACUCGAAUUCUGAUCUCCAAUCUGCUUCCCAAAAUGUUACCAUCAGAAACCCAAUAAACCCAUCGGAAAUCCCAUAUAAAACACAAUGAUACAGUUUCCACGCGAAGUCAGAAGAUAGGUAGAUGUUGCUUAAUAACACUAGAGAAAUAUGGUCCCAAUCACCCAAGAGCUAGACCUUUUUCACCUCAUGCUUCACUUUUGACCCUUCUUCUGCUUCAAUUCAGACCCUGCAAUGUUAUGGACCACCACUUUUAUGUGUCAUAGGUCAUUUUAUUGGAAUUAGCGGAGUUGGGUUGUUUGAUGGAGAGCCAGAAGUCACAUGUGCACCCCAACAUACAAACAGAUUGGUUAACUGCAGGGAAGUUGGAUGCAUUAGAGGCCAAUAAGGAACAGUAGAAUGUUGUCUUUUAUAGUGAAUCACGUUUGAGAUGCUAUUCAGUAAGAUUAAUGGAGAUGUGGGGCUUUUGGACAGUGUGGUGGUGAGCACAAUACCAUAACUCACUUUCCUGUACCUUCGCCUUCUUGGUUCUUACUAGUGAAGUUGCUAUGUCGGGAUAGGGAAAUAUAUAAUAAAUAUAGGCAACGACCAGAAACGGCAUAUUUACUGUAUACAAAAGAAAGUAUUUAUGUGAGAAGGGGUGAUGAAUGACAAGCUUCAUUGCAGAUAUUGGAGUGAGUGGAGAUGCUAUUUUUAUUUAUUAUACAUUGGAUGCAAUACUAUAUUUGUUCAGGGGUGGUUGCUGGGCCAUGGUAAUUGCCAAUAAUGUCGGUAAACACUAGGCAGAGAGGUGAGGUGUCUUUAUAUUUCAUAUGGGAGGUUAUCUUUCUAAGCAGGGAGAAUCAAUACAGGUGUCUUCCUGUAGUGGGCUUUGUAUAUGUACAGUAGCGGAAGUGCAUUGAGAACCACUUGUACUUAUUCUCAGAAUCUUGUUCUAAAACUUAAGAAGACAAUAGCCCGGUUUCCCCAUAAAGAUGGAUGUUUGUUGCUCUUUCUUUGUCUCUGUCCCUGUCUCUCUCUCUAUCCACAUAAUGGUGUGGACGAAAGUAGCUUUGUUGCUGAAGCUUCUUUGUGAUAAAAUAAUUGUGAUGUUGGACUGAUGAGUCAGUCCUGGAACACUGGACUUGUCUAAAUCAAUUGGAGUUUUCUUGUACCAGCCAAACUUGUAGCAUUGUUAGUGAAAAGUCUGUUACGGUGAGUAAUUCAGAAUUUUGCCUCUUGGCUUAGCUUUUAAUAUGACAAAAUUGUGGUGCAAACUCAUGAGGUGAAGAGUCCAAUAUAUUCAUCUCAAUUUCACUUUGUUGUUCCAAAGCUUGGCUUGGAAAUAGUAUCCUGAAGUAGCAUUAAAGGUCUGAAAAGGGUAUUAUUGCAAGAAUCUCCCAAGUAAAACUAGAUUUAUUUGGCUUAUGAUAUAUUCUCUUUGUGCAUCCAUUUUGGCUGAUUCUCAUUUGAGAAUAUAACAGUGCUUUGCUUAUCACUUCAUAUCCGGAAAAUGACCCAAUACCAUUCUUCUCAUCCUUGUUCCCUUGGAUCUGGUUCCCACCUUGAGAUAGAAGCAUAUAGAUAUAAGAGGUCUCUCUCCAUGUUUCUCCUUUGUUUUUUUUUUUCUUCUUUUUCUUUUCUUUUAUUUUCUUAUUGCCCUUCUCACCCAUCACUUAAUCACUGGCAUUGUUGUUGGAGGAUUAUCCUAAAAAAAUUUGGUGAAAAAUCUUAGGUCUCUAAGCCCUUUUGAGGGUCCUCAACUGGUUUUCUUUUGGGAGACAAAAAUGUUCAUCUACUCUCUUUUCCAAACUAACCAACCCAGUUACUAUAAUAGAGAGCAUACAGAAUAUCGGCAGGUGGCAAAAAUCUUACCAAAUCUGCCUAAGAUGAACUGGGAUACCUUGCCCUUUUCAUAAUGUCAAGUUUGAAUGAUCUUACAUUGAACUCAAUGCAAAUCCCUUGUAAUUAGUAUUUGGCUCCAGGACACACAAUUUUAAGCUGGUCGUAUCUGUAAAAACAUGUUAUGAGAUUAAAAAAAAAAAAAAAAUUCUUUGGCAGGUUAGCAGUUAGUCUCGGGUUAAACAGUUCUGAAUUACAACAGCCUUAUCAACAACAUUAUUUUUAAACUAGUGGUCGUAGACGUUCACUGCAACAAAGCUUCCCACUGGAGUGUCCAAAGUCCUAGUGGAUGGGCCAAAAACAAACAGAAACUGCUUUGCUUCCCACUACCCUGACUUCUUGAAUUAUCAGCAUAUCUUCCAUGGAAAGCCCAUAUUGUGUUGCAGCACGUGAGAAAAAUGGAAGACAAGAAACCACCGGCACCAGUGCCAUUGGAUAAGGUGUCUGACACAGUCCUAACACUAACAUGUGCCUAAGGACCAAGAACAUAGCACUUCACUGUUAUGUGACAACUCCAUUUUUCAUGCUUCCACAAGAAUUGUUAUGCUGCAUUGUAGACUACUUCUAGAUUGAAAGCAGCUGUAGAGAAGUUCAAAAAAAGAACGUAGUUGGGGAGAAACAGCCAAAAUAAGUAAUACAAAAAAAUCUCAUUUAGAUAAUAAACUAAGAGUUUGUUUGGUAUUGAUUUUAGGAAACAUUUCUAAUAAUUCUAACGCUUCAAAAUUUUUAUGAUUCAAGUAUUAGAAAAACUAAAAAUAUUUCCUAUAAUCAUGGUCAAACACAGUCUAAUUCAUAUCAUAAUCUACCUUAAAAAAUGAUCGAUUUUGUUAACCUUUUGUCUCACGAAUAAAUUUAUGUUAUUGCCUUUUUAAGAAUAAAAAUGACAAAGCAUGAAAUAUUUCUAAUUCUUAAUAGAAAAGUAUAGAACAUUUGAUUUUAUUUAUGAUAAAAUACAAUAAAUCUUUCUUCCUGCCAAAAAAAUUUAAAGCAUUCAUAUAUUGUAAAACAAUUGCUAUGAAUAAAUAUAUGCACCAUCUAAUGUUCCUGUCUAAGGGUCAUCGCUAGUGGCGCCAAAGAUUUGAAAAACCGGUAGUUCAACCAUGUCCUCAACCACCCUCUUCACCAUUCCACCAUCACCCGCGACCGGUUCUCCUCCCACUACCUCCACCACUCAUCAUUUUAUUUCUACAAACAGACUCGCAGUAUUGAUAGACAAAUCCAAGACCAUCAGCCACCUUCUCCAAAUCCACGCAGUUCUUUUCCGCCACGGUCUCGACCACCACCCCAUCUUGAAUUUCAAGCUCCAGCGUUCCUAUGCUUCUCUCGGCCGCCUCGACUACUCCGUUGCUCUCUUCGGCCGUACCCAAAACCCCAGUGUCUUCUUCUGGACCGCCAUUAUUCAUGGCCACGCGCUGCGUGGUCUCCAUGAGCAAGCGCUUAAUUUCUAUGCUCAGAUGCUAACCCAAGGCGUUGAACCCAAUGCCUUCACCUUUUCCUCUAUCCUGAAAUUAUGCCCGAUCGAGCCCGGAAAAGCGUUGCAUUCCCAAGCGGUCAAGUUGGGGUUCGAUUCGGAUUUGUAUGUGAGAACUGGUCUGUUGGAUGUUUACGCGAGAGGCGGGGAUGUGGUGUCCGCACAACAACUGUUUGACACUAUGCCUGAAAAGAGUUUGGUUUCUUUGACUGCUAUGCUUACUUGCUAUGCAAAGCAUGGUGAGCUUGAUGCGGCACGGGUACUAUUUGAUGGAAUGGAGGAGAGGGAUGGCGUGUGUUGGAAUGUGAUGAUCGAUGGUUAUACUCAAAAUGGGAUGCCAAAUGAGGCAUUGGUGCUAUUCAGACGAAUGUUGAAGGCAAAAGCGAAGCCUAAUGAAGUGACAGUGCUGUCUGUGCUCUCUGCAUGUGGGCAGCUUGGGGCACUGGAAUCUGGCAGAUGGGUCCAUUCUUACAUUGAGAACAAUGGUAUUCAGUUCAAUGUUCAUGUCGGGACGGCUUUGGUUGAUAUGUACAGUAAAUGUGGUAGUCUGGAAGAUGCUCGCUUGGUUUUUGAUAAGAUUGAUGACAAAGAUGUUGUUGCUUGGAAUUCAAUGAUUGUGGGAUACGCAAUGCACGGAUUCAGCCAAGAAGCUUUGCAGCUUUUCAAAUCAAUGUGUAGGAUGGGUUUGCACCCUACUAAUAUAACUUUCAUUGGCAUUUUGAGUGCCUGUGGUCAUUCAGGAUGGGUAACAGAGGGAUGGGACAUUUUUAACAAAAUGAAAGAUGAAUAUGGGAUUGAACCAAAGAUUGAACAUUAUGGAUGUAUGGUAAAUCUACUCGGCCGUGCUGGGCAUGUGGAACAGGCAUAUGAGCUUGUCAAGAACAUGAACAUUGAGCCAGAUCCUGUCUUAUGGGGAACUUUGCUUGGGGCCUGCAGGCUCCAUGGUAAAAUUGCUUUGGGAGAGAAAAUUGUAGAGUUACUAGUUGACCAGAAUCUUGCUAAUUCUGGAACUUACAUACUUCUUUCUAACAUUUAUGCUGCAGUUGGAAACUGGGAUGGGGUUGCAAGGUUGAGGACCAUGAUGAAAGACAGUGGGGUAAAGAAGGAGCCAGGCUGUAGCUCCAUUGAAGUGAAUAAUAAGGUACAUGAGUUCCUUGCUGGAGGGCUGAAUCACCCAAAGAGAAAAGAAAUCUACAUGAUGUUGGAGGAGAUAAAUGGGUGGCUCAAGUCUCAUGGGUACACCCCUCAGACUGAUAUUGUAUUGCAUGACAUUGGAGAGACAGAAAAAGAGAGAUCCCUUGAAGUUCAUAGUGAGAAGCUUGCUAUUGCUUUUGGGCUCAUCAAUACUCAACCAGGAACCACGAUCAAGAUAGUAAAGAACCUCCGAGUCUGUGCUGAUUGUCAUGAAGUGACCAAGUUGAUCUCAAAGAUCACAGGGCGUAAGAUUGUUGUGAGGGACCGAAACCGGUUCCACCACUUUGUGAACGGCUCAUGUUCUUGCGGGGACUAUUGGUGAACUUGAUUCCAUUUGAUAUGAGUUGUAAGAAACAGCUCCUGUUCAGAAGAAUGCCUCCACCGGCAUUGUUAGGCAUUCUUCAACUGCUAGAGAUUUUAAUUCAUUGUAGUUUUCAUGUGUGCCACAACAUUUCCUGAAAUUCAAACCUAGUUAACUAUGCUAUCAGAAAUUCACAAUCAAGAAAGUCAAUGUAUCAAGCAUCUGAAUCCUGGUGGACCGAAAGGGGUACGCCUACGCCUGGUAAUGCGAGCACCAACUCCAAACCCUGACUCAUCUCAGAAGAACGGCUAUAGGUCCCAAAUUUCCUCCUACCAGUAUCAUAACUCCCUGAAACUAGGGGAUGCGCCCGAGUAGUCCACAUGUUCAUAGUAGUUCAUAUUAUAUGGUUUGGGGCCAUCCGCCUAGUAAAAACUAGUGAUUUACACACAGCUACGCACAGAAUUAACUGGGUCACCAACCAUUUGAUCGCUUGAAAGACAGAUAGGCACUUUUGAAAGCAACAGUCUUUAUAGACUUGAAUUUUCACUAGAUAACCAUCAGGAGAAUCUGCAACUGCAAAAGCUUGAUGCAACAGUAAAAGAUGCAAGUUGAGGAAAAAUCAAAUACAAUAUUGUAUUGAAGGUCCAGUCCCUAAUCAAUUGUAUAGGCUUGUUUUGCAGGUGAAGCCGGUCGCCCAACACACUAAAACUAAAGCAAGCGUCUUAACAUUUUCUCGACACAACCCUUCAACAAGAGAAUCAAGCAUACAUUUGCAAAGAAAAAAAUUAAUAUAUCCAAAAUAUCUUUCAAAUACGAAGUCUUGAAUCAUGUUUCUCAUUAAAGUAAAUCUGUACAAAUUAGUACCAAUGUAUCUCAUUCAAAGCGAUUAACAACUAUCAACUAACGAAGUCAAACAACAUAAAGUUAAAUUCGGUUACACCUUCAUCUACUGUAAAAAUGAAAAUCCUACCCAACCAAACACCAACCCCCUCCCCCCAUUUCCCCCAACUCAUUUUUCCUUUGGCUGGAACUCUAGGACCGACAAACUGGCUUACCUUUCCAGCAAGUACCGAAAGAGUAACCCUGUAUUUCAACAUAAUCAGGAGUAUUCUCAAGUCCCUACAUUCUAAAAUCCAAAACACAUACUGUAUUGUUGGCGAAGCAGGCAGCAAUCUUGUCACCUUCCUUAUUCCAACAGACUUCAAAUAUGCCACCGUUGCCAGUGUAUGUCUUCACAAUCUUUCUUUCUUUCAAUGACCAGAUGUGCAUGGAUCUAUCUAGAGAUCCACUAGCCAAGUAUUCACCAUUUGGGCUAAAUGCAACAGAGUAUACUGGAUCCCUGGUGAAUCAAUUAAAAAGCACAGUAAAUAAUGAUUACAAGUAUGAAACAAUCAAGAAACUCAGAAGUAGGAUUAGCUUAAGGGCACCAAGAUACUGCAAUGACCCAAAACCACCCAAACAUUUUACCCCAGAACUUGCCAGAUACUGAAAAGAGUUGAGGUGAAGAAAGAAACUUCAUAGAAUACACAGAUAAUUUACCAAAAAUGGAAAAAACAACCAAGGUUAUGAUCAUCAUAUAUGAUCAACUUUCAUUAGAGUAGUUCCAGGUCAUAGCUUGUACCACCACAUAAAUGCUAAUAGCUAAACUACUAAUUAUUACUGGUAUACUAAUAUGGUACUUUAUGUUUACCAUGAGUUCCUACAAAAUAAAAAUGUCACGAAAACUAUAUAACUCUAUUACCUGUGGCCAUUCAAGCUGCAAAGAAGUUUCCCUUGUUCCACAUCCCAUAGCUUCACUGUUGAAUCGAAUGAUGCACUGCACACAACCAGAUAAUAUUUUUGUUAUAUGGCAGCAUAUACAAGUAAUGAGUGCAAUAUCAAUUCCUAUAUAUAUAUAUAUAUGUGUGUGUGUGCGUGUGCGUGUGUGUGUUUUGAAUUCUUAAUGUUUAAUUGAAAACCAUCUCCAUCAAGGGAUUCGCACAUAACAAGGCAAAAAAGUAAUAUAAUAGGUGUAAUUACAUAAGUAUAGAGCGAAAUCUAUGGACUAAAUAAAUACUAAAAUAUUUCAAAAGACGAAUAAUUAUGCUAUGCAAACCUUAGUAGACGCCAAAACUAGGACAAGGCAGCCAAACAUAAAAUAUUUAUUUCACCAGUGGACAUUAAAUGCACCCUUUAUUCAUCAAUUUUACAAUAUUAAAUUACAACUUCUGUUGACAAUUUACUAAAAUGAAACUUCAAUUUCCUAAAAGACUUUCCAUCAGUUUUAAAAUGUUAAUUCACAACUGUCACUGACAAUUCAAGUUAAGGACACUGGAGAUUCAGUUCAAAUAUUGAAUCAAUGGCUUAUUUAUCAGGUUUGAUGAAAUGCUCCAAGUAGCUAAAGCUUCCAUAGUUCCAUUCAUAACUUUGACUGAAAUUUAUUUGUUAUAUAGAAUAAAUAGAGAACUUUAUGGUUCCCCUUUGAUGAAAAAUAGUGGUCCUAGAAGUCACUCUAUACGGUAUGUAUACAUAGUACAUGCAGUUUGUACAAAUAAAUGUAGAUAAAUGACAACUGAAUUUAUAAAACAAACAAUUGUUUUACCUUGCCAGCACCAACGGCUGGUUAGGAUUGUUUGUACCUUGACCAGUGGGACUCCAUCUGAUAGUAUAUAUCUCCUGCAGAACAGUUCAUUAAUGUUUGCAAAAGCAUACUAAAAAAAUUAACAGAUUAAGAUAAAGAGGAAUCAAGAGGCUCCUCCUACCUUAGCAUGUUCCCUUAAAUCAUGAAGAUACUUCUCCUGCUUUAUGCUCCAGAUCUGCAUCAUGAUUUUAUGGAUCAGAUGCCAAUCAGUAAAUCUCAUCACUAACAAGCAAAGCAAGGAAAACCAAAAGAGAUAAAUCUGACUGCCUAGCUAAGAUGACAUCCAUGAUACAAAUGGCACAUUCCUUUUCAAGAAAGAAACCAAGACCAAAACAGGAAUGGACAUACAUGUCGAUUAUCAGCACCUUAAGAAGAAAAUUAUUCAAUAACUAAAUAAAAAUUUAUCAUCAAUAACCUUUGCAGUGAUAUCGUCAGAGCAAGAGGCCAACAAUUGUCCUGUUGGAUCCCAUUUGACACAAUUCACUUCACCCUGAAAUUGCACAUAGUUCAAAGAUUACUUAUAAAAUCCAUGCAUCUGCUAUACAUACUUAAAGUCUCAGUGAAAUUAUGCACCAGCAACAUCUAGCAACCAACUAUCAACCAUGUCAGCAAAACAAUGAUUAAGCCACAGUUCUUGCUUUAUAUUGGCUGGAGGUUACUAAACAUUGAGGAAGCAAAAUUCUUGGGUGGAAAACAGUGGACAAAGAAUUUAAGAUUUCUUAACCAUAGGCCUGCUUGAGCAGUUAGCAUGAUGACCACUAAUGAGUAAUAACCUAAUGAUCACAAGAACAAACCUGAUGGCCAGAAAAAGUUUUAAUAGGACGGUUUUCUCCAAUUUUGCAAACAUAUAUCAUAUUGUCUGUGGAGCUGGUUGCAAAAGAAACAUUAUUUCGCCAGUCGACAUCAAGUGUUGGACCUGAAGAUAAUGCAACUCCCUUUUGGUAAGAAUGAAAAAGGAUAUUGGUGAGAAGAAUAAAAGAGGAUAACUCCUGGAAAAGGCAGCAAUCUGAAGAGAAAAGGCACCAAAUCCUACUCAUCAGCAAACUUUUAUCACCUGCAUGAAAUUCAAAUUGUUGCUUCCAUUCCUCUGUCUUCACGUCCCACACAAUGGCAGUUUUAUCACAGCUUCCAGUUAGAAGAUAAUCACCCUUUCUAUUCCACUUUAGAGAAAAUAUAGGUCCUUUGUGUUUGCUCAAAGUGCUCCUUAGUUCACCUAAACAAAAAUAAUACCCAUAACAUGAGGUAUAAAGUUUUCAAACUGCAGUAAAACUAAAUAAAGGAAUGAUCUUAGUAAACUAGGAAAAAAAUUGUCCCAAAUAGAACAAUAACUAGAAGGGAAUAUCAAAUAUCAUUACAGAGAAGAAACCAAACAAACAGAAGGAAAAAAAAACACACGCACACACACACACUCAUGCACGCACAAACCUGCACAAGAUGGUAGGACUGAAAUUGAAAGCUAAAUGAUAAGAGAAAUGAAUUCCCACUGUUGUCAUUGUCUAAAAAUCCUAAACAUUAAAUUCCUGAAUAGAAUUCUACCAUUCUUUUUAAUGGGCCCUUCUGUGAUGCAUAUAGAUUCAUUGCUCAAAUGCCACCAUACGAAACCCACACCCUCUACACAUUCUUUAACAGUGUUGAAAAAGGAAAUGUAAGUCAAACAUUAUGAAAAUGUGGAAUGACACAUGUUAAGGAUAGAAAAUAGUUUUGGCUAAGUUCCUCUAACAUCAAUUAACAAUUCAAAAAUUAUUCCUAUGAUAAAUGUUGGGAUAAGUUUGGUCGUCCUACAUGGGCUAAUCAGGUUGCCUUCUCUUCUAAUGAUAGAGUUGAUGUUCCUACUCAUGUUCAACCUACAGGUAGUAGUAGUAGGGAGUAUCACGUUAUCUUUAGAUAAUUAUAACAAACCGGUGCAACAGUCCUCAUAGAUUUCCUUGAGAUCCAACAUCAAUGCUCCUACCACAACCUUAACAGAUUUGGAUGCACAUGCUCUUCGCCUACAGGUAGUAGUAGUAGGGAGUAUCAUGUUAUCUUUAGAUAAUUAUAACAAACCGGUGCAACAGUCCUCAUAGAUUUCCUUGAGAUCCAACAUCAAUGCUCCUACCACAACCUUAACAGAUUUGGAUGCACAUGCUCUUCUUACUCCUAGUCAGUCUUCUUCCCCUUGGGUAGAGAUUUUGACGCUUCUAGUCAUAUGACUGGACAGUCCUCCCCCUUUUCUCACUUAACCAAGUCUUCUAACACAUCGUUAGUCCCCUCAAGUGAAAUGGCUUUAUUAUCUCAAUAGUCAGUUUAUAUUCCAGUCUCAUUAUUAAAAAAUGUCAUUCUGUUGCUCUUUCUUCAUUUGUUACUCCUCUUCAGUGGCAUUAUAGAUUGGGUCCUGCUUCAUUUGAGGGGUUACAUUCAUUAGGAUUGUCUCCAAAUUUGUCCAAUAAGCCUGAGUGUGAGUUGUGUUAACUUGACAAACACCAUAGGUUAUCUUUCCUCCUAGAGUCUUUAGAUGUGUUUGCUUUGUUCAUAAUUUUUCUCCAAAUAAAGACAAGUUUGAUCCUCGCUCUUCAAAUGUGUUUUUUUUUGUUUUUGGAUACUCUAGAACCCAAACACAAUACAAAUGUUUUGAUCACAUGUCUCGUAAAUACUUUAUUAAUGCCAAUGCAAUAUUCUUUAAGACUAAUUUUUCUGAUCACGAUUUACAAUUAGAAAAUGACUUAUUUCAGUUUCAGUUUAUUCCUCUUCCUGUUGUUAUUGAUACUUCUCUAAGACUAACAAACCAUUACAAGUGCAUCAAUGGAAAAGACUGGCUAGAGAUGGUAAAACAAAUCAACCUCAGUCUCUACCUCCUCCGGGCUUGUCAGUAGAUAAUCCUAUACGACCAUCUAUUUUCAUUACCUCAAUUCCUAAUGAGUCAAACCUCCUUGUUACACUCAGGAAAGGUAGGGGUAGCAAUUCUAACAUGACACAAUAACACAAUUUGAAAACAAUACAAAUUUUAGCAGGUUCAAAUUAAGUAUAAUCAUGUUCAUAUCAUAAUCGUAACAACCUGUAUACCCUAUUUAAUAAACAGGUCGUGUUCGGAUUGCCUACUCAACCCAUUUAAUCUGCUUUCUAAAUCAUGUCAAACUAACCCAUUUAUUUGAUUGUGUCAAAAUGACCUAUUUACUUAAUUAUGUCAAAAUAACCUGUUAACAUAAACGUUUCAAAUGACUUUUUUAUGAUCCGAGCCAUUUAUGACUUAUUUAACCUAAUCAUGUUAAAAUGACCCAUUUGUACAUAUUUCAUUAAAGAUUAAAAAUAUUUUAUAAUUAAAACAUUGAAUAAGUGUAAAAUUAAGCUUUUAAUUUAUUUUUAUUAUAAAUAUAUUAUAAUUACUCCAAUGAAAGAGAUUCGUUGUGGAGGAAGAUCAAAAUGGGACAGUUUAGAGAGGAGGAAGGGGGUUGGAGUUUACGUGUGGUGAGAGACUCUUAUGAGGUUGGGUUACGGAAAACUAUAAGUAAGCAGUGGGAUUUUUUUAACACAAAAGUCUCCUUUCCAAUGGGUAGUGGGAGCAAGAUGAAGUUUUGGAAAGAUAGUUGGUAUAAUGAAAAGCCUUUAUUUGUGUUAUUCUCGUCCUUGUUUGCCUUAUCGGACUCGAAAGAAAUGUGAAUAGAUGACUUUUGGAAGUAUAGUGUGGAAGAAUGAAAUAAGGAAAAUUGUGAUUCUGAAGAAAGAAUUAGGCAAUCCAUGAUCAAAGGGAUUUUGUUAUAAUUGAGUUAGGAAAGUCCCUAAUUUGGAUCCUAGGAUUUUUGUAUAUAUAUAUAUAUAUAUAUAUAUGUAUGUCCAAGUCUUUGUACAUAAAAAUCAAAAAGAAGAAUUUUCUACCUUUUAUUCUUCAAUCUCUCCUCUACAAUUAGGAACCUAAAUGAUUGGGAGUUGGUUGUCAUAAAGUGAUUCCUGUGUAAACUCCAAGUUUAGUCAAUGAAUAGGGAGAAGAAGGAGGGCAUAGUAGUGGAAAAGUGAUAGCAAAGGAAGGUUCUCUAUAAAAGAGCUCUAUUCUCUUUUAGAGUCAAAUUGUGUCAUCCCAUUUCCAUUAGAGAUUAUUUGGAACUCUUGGAUUCCAUUUAAGGUGAGUUUUUUUUACUUGAGAGGUCUGCUAGAAUAAGGAAUUGACUUUAGAUUAGCUCCAAAGAAGAGGGUGAAUGUUGGUCAGUAGAUGUGUCUUAUGCAAAGAAGAGUCGAAAUCCAUUGAUCACAUUCUCCUUCAUUGUAAUAAGGUGAGGUUAUCAUGACAGUCAGUGUUAUCUAUUUUCGAUGUUUAGUGGGUUAUGUCUACAUCAAUUAAGGAGGCUCCACUAGUGUGGCAUGGCUCUUUUGUAGGUAGAAGGCGCAUGAAGGCUUAGAGAGCUGCUCCUUUAUGUAUUUUUUGAACCAUCUAGAAGGAAAGAAACUUAAAAUGUUUUGAAAGUGAGAAAAUGUCAGAGCAAAGAUCCUUGUUUGAAAGUAAACAAACAAUUUCCUUAACAAUCUAUCUUUGUGGGUUAAGGUGUCUAUAGGUGGAGGCUCUAUGCCUUUGGUUGAUUUUAUAGAUUGGUUGGGUCUUUGUUGAGGAAGGGAGUAUUUUUUAUUUCCCCUCGUUUUUGUUUAGCCUUUUGGUGCUCAUUGUACACGACCCGUAUACUCUUGUGCGCUAGUUGCUCUAUUUAAUACAUUCUCUUAUUUAUAAAAAAAAAUGUUCAAAUGAUAUAAUUAAAUUAAUAAAUAUUUUAAAAAAAAAUUAAAAAUUGCAACUAAAAAGCAUUAAAAUAAUAUAUUUGUAAAUUUUAAAUAGUUUAAAUGAGUUAGAAUCAUGUUAACAGGCUAGAAUCAUGUCAAUGGGUUAGAAUCAUUAGGUUAGAACAGUCCUAACGAGUUAUCCAUGUCAAUUCAUACACAAUUCAACUUAACCUAUUUAUUAAACAAGGUUAAACAAGUUAUGCCGUGUUACCAGUGUAAUAAAUAGGUCAUGUUUCUAUCAGGUCAUCCUAACACAAUUAUUAAAAGGGUUGUAUUCAAGUUAGUAAAUUUUCACUAUUUCUAACCUCAACUUAACACAACUUGACCUAUUGCCACCUAUAAGGAAAGGCAAAGGAAAUUGUACUCACUAACAUCUUAUUCAUUAUAUGUCUUUAGAUAACCUUUCCCCUAUUUUUAGGUGUUUUGCUCGUGUCUUGUCUUCUAUUUCUAUCCGUAAGUCUUAUCAAGAAGCUUUAAAUCAUAUUGUGUGGAAGAAGGUCGUGGAAGAAGGUCAUGGAAGAAUAAAUGCAUGCUCCUCUAGGCAGAGGUACAUGGGAACUCAUUAAUUUACCCAAGGAAAGCAUGUUGUAGGUUGUUGUUGGGUUUUUACUAUUAAGUAUCAUCUAGAUGGAAUUAUAGAAUUGUUGGCUCGUUUACUCAAACUGAUGGCGUGGACUAGUUUGAGACUUUCUCCCCUAUUGCUUGUCUUAAUUCAAUACACAUCCAUAUUUCCUUAGCUUUAAAUUUUGGGUGGAGUCUACAUCAAUUAGAUGAGAAAAAUGCAUUCUUGUAUAGUGAUUUGAGUGAGAAAGUCUAUAUGGAGCAACUACGUGGGUUUGUUACUCAAGGGAAGGCUAUUUAUGGAUCAAAACAAUCACCUCGAGCUUGGUUUGAUAAAUCGAGUGCUAUUCUUCUAUCAUUUGGUUUUAGAAGAUGUAACUCUGACCACUCUGUACUACUCAUUCUAUGUGUGGAUGAUAUUAUUCAUUUUGAUAGUGACGGUAAAGUAUUGAAGAAGUGAACGAUUACUUGAAAAAUACCUCUCAGACAAAGAAUCUCAGGUUGUAACAUUAUUUGCUCAACAUUGAAGUUACACAUGGUAGAAGUGAGAUUGUUUUGGCUCGAAGGAAGUAUGUAUUGAAUUUGCUUAAUGAAAUCGGCAUGUUAGGAGUAAAGCUAACACACACUCUUAUGGAGCAAAAUGUGAAUCUUAAUGUAGAUGAUAGUCUUGUGUUUUCACACAAAAGAAGAUAUCAAAAUCUAGUGGGUGGGCUCAUUUAUUUGAUAGUCAUCAGACCUAACAUUACAUUUCCUAGGGGUACAAUAAGUCAAUUCAUGAACACACCUAAGCAGAUUUAUUAGGAAACAACAUGUAGAAUCCUAAGGUAUCUCAAAGGUACUAAAGGUAUGAGAGUACUCAAUGGAAAGAGGUCUCACACUAGCCUUGAUCUUGUGAGUAUUUUUUGGAUGCAAACUGAGCAAGAUCCUCAAUUGACAGGGGGUCCAAUUCCACCCUUGUUUGUGAUAAUCUAGUUACUUGAAGGAGUAAAAAGCAACAUCUAGUCACUAGAUCUAGUGCUAAAAAAGAAUAUAAGGCUAGGGCAUAUACAAUGUGUGAAUUAAUGUGGAUUCAAAACUUUUCUCUUGAAAAAUGCAUGACUAUGUACUGUGAUAAUGAAACUGCUAUUCACAUUGCCUGCAACCCAAUGUUUCAUUAAAGAACCAAACAUAUUGAAAUGGACUGUGAUUUUAUCAGAGAAAUUGUAAUGAGCAAGAAAGUGAUAACCACUUACAUCAAGUUUGAAGAUUAGUUAGGCGAUGCGUUUGCUAAAGCUUUAAGGAGAAAUCCCUUUUUCUAUCAAGUAUUCCAAGUUGGGUCUAUAUAAUAUAUAUGCCCCAACUUGAGGUAAAGUGUUAAAGAGUUAUUAAUGGUUAUUUGGUAAGAGGUAGUUUAGUCAUUUUGUUUAUUUUGUAAAGUCCAUAUAUACGCUUUGUACUCUUUCCUUGGGCAACAAGACACUAUUUUCUUUCUCUCACUCAACAGAAAACAUUAAGCAAUUAUGCUACAGGCAGCUUACCAUUUGUACUCCAAAUUCUUGCUUGUCCAUCAUAGGACCCUGUUGCAAGCAAUGUCCCAUCCCCCUGCAUAAUAGCAAGCAAAAAAAUGAAAAUUGUCAACAAAAACUAGAAAAGCAUUAUAGCCUGGAAAACAAGUCAUCAUUAGGAUACCAUAGCAAAAAAAAUUCCGCACUUCCUAGAGAAACAGAAAAGAAAAAGAAAACUGUUCCAGGAAGUGCCUCAUAAAAUACCUUGCCCAAAUAAGAAAAUAUGCUAUCAAAGCAAAAGAUUAAAAAAUUUACGUUCUCAUCAGAAUCCUUUCAUCAGUGUCACUACACUGACCACUCUCAUGACCAACAUAUUGACAAACUACCCAACUGCAAAACCAACAUCCCAAACACAGCCACCAUAACCUACUGAAACGUCACCACUGUCAUUAUUCCUUCAAUAGCAGAAUUACUCCUACUCUACCUCCGCUGUACUACACAACCAUGCUUCAAUCACCAACAUCCACUGGGGUUCAACCUGCUCCAACACCUAAACCAACCAGACAAGGUUGAGAUGUUCUGAUGGAAUUGAAUUUUUUUUUUUUUUUUUUUUUAUGAGUAAAAAGCCUAACCAAACCCAUUGCUAUGGUUCCAUGAGUUUCUGGUUAAAAUUAACCAACCUCUGAACCGUACAGGCAGCACUCAUGUUUUUAUGGAAGAGGGAUGGUUCACCUCAUCUAGUAGAUGUGGCGCCCCUGUUAAGGUCAACUGGGGGAAAAGAAGUGACCCCCUCCAACUUCAAUUAUAUUCAGGAUCCUUUCCCCCAGCCAUCUCCUUCACAGGAUUAUCUUAACCUUCAAUUGGUGCCCUUCUUAUUCAAAUUUUAGGGAUUUGGUUGAAGAUUAUCGUGCUCCAAAAGGUUGUCAAUUUAUGCCCUUUUUAUUCAACACUUCCCCCUUACAUAACCUAGGCCUGGCCUGGCCUGGCCCGGCCUUGCCUCAAAACUUCUAAAUCACCGCAAGAUUUAAAAACACAAAUCAAGCUGCACAAGUAGCUGCAUUGAUUAAUCAUUUUUCUUUCUCAUUGUGGUUUAUGACAACAUGUUUUGUACUUCAUCAGGAAAAGAAGGGCAAAUGAGCUGUCAAAAGCACUUUUGGAAUUAUAACUAGAAACUGGGUAUAAACCUUUAAAUCAAAUGUAGUAAAAUAAAGUAAAACAGAAGCUUAAGCUUCAUCUUGCAGCCAUCAUUGUCACAAUAAUCUACUAAUUUUUAUAUAAUAUUGCAAAAUGCUCUUAAUUUUUAAAUGAUAUUGCAAAAUGCUCUCCUCCAAUGCAAACAAAUUGGCUAAUCGUUUGUGAUAUGUUAGAAGCUUGAAUAAUGCCUUUUCUAUCCUGUGACUUCACCACUGAUGACAAUUUGACUGAGACAAGUUUCACAAUAUGAAGAAUAGCUUUAGAAUUGACAUAAGAAUAAUCUACACUAUCAUUUUACAGACUUAAGCAACUAAUGUUUCUGUAAAAGCUUGUAUGAAAAAGAUAAAAAAUAGAAGAUUGCAAUUUCCUGUGCCUACCAAGUAGUUUGACAAUAUAGCAAAAGCAGGAAAUCAAGAUUCACUAUUCUCAAAGGACUUGCUAGAAUAGAAUAGGGCACCAAAACUCACAUUCCAAUCAAGCGUGGUGACAUCUUUGCUUUUCUCAUUUGUUCUACCUUUAACAUGCUUCAGCACCAGUACAUUUGAAGGACCAUUUUGCACACUAGAUCUACAGGUCCCAUCAGCAAUUGUCCAAAUUCGAGCUGUUGAAUCUCCCGACCUAGUUAUUCAGGCAAUGAGAGAACAUCAAGGCAUAAAAUGAGAAGAGAUAAUUCACAGUGCUGGCAGUAUGGUUGCUUUAUCAUCACACAAAGAAUGCACUAAGAUUUGGGAAUUAUGCAAAUCAUAACUGCAUGCAUUACUUCACACUUCAUUGUGGCCAUUAAAUGACAGUUUAAAGUGAGCCUAAUCUAUAUUACCUAAAUAUAACGACUCAGAAAAGGAAAUACAAACAUUACAGCUAAUGCCAUCGAGUGAUACAGAAACUUACAAAUUUUAUUUAGAAACAGUGAUAAUUAAGUCUUGGUUUUAAAUUUUUGGUUUUCUGAGUAGGUUUUGUAUUUAAACUAAUGGGCUGCAAGUGCUCCAGUGGUCUAAAACACUUUUUUUUUUAUAGAUUCCAGCGAUCUAACAUAGUUGACCAAGAGAUUAAAACCAAGCAUAAAAUAAUGUUCUUUGCCUAUAAAUAAUAAAAUAAUAUUUGUAGAUGCAAGAGAGUGAAGUUUUGAAAUGAUAUUUGGCAUAGUGAAUCAUCCUUGAGCAUCCUUUUCCCCACUUUGUUUUUCAUAGCUACUUCCAAGGGUGGUUCUUGGAUCAUGGCUGUGAGGAAAGAAUCAGGCAGGGGAGGGCAUUGGAGACCUUGUUACUUAAGAUAGUUCCAUGACUGGGAGUUGGAAAGUCUUGAGAUGUUUCUUAUGAGGCUUCAAGAGAGAUCAAAGAUGAUGAAUGGUGAGGAUAGGUUGAUUCAAAAGGAUCCCAAGGAUGUUAAAAGCUUUCUAUUCUUAUUUGGAACCUGAUAUGUGAAACUAGUUUGGAUCUCAUGGGUCUGAACUAAAGCAAGGUUCUUUGCAUAGGAAGUGGAUUGGUAGAGGCUUUUAACUUUGGAUCAGUAAAAAGGGAAAGGAUGUACCUUGCUAAAUCAAUCCUAUCUUUACAAUGGCCAAGAAGAAUCAGCUCAUUUACAUCCUCCUAUAUUGCACUAAAACAAGGAUCUUGUGGCUUUUUCUGUUCUAUUCAUUUGGAGAGAUUGUAUUAAUUUGGCAUGGGAAUUUUGUGGAAAAGAAGCAUAGGAAGGCAUAGAGGGCUGCUGUUUGUGCUAAUUUUGGACCAUUUAGAAGGACAGGAAUCACAGACCAUUUGAAAAUGUGGAACAAUCAAAUUAAGCUCUCAAAAUCCCAUUCCUUUCUUUUGGGCAAGAAAGUUCUUACAUGAGGCUUCAAUUUGUUGGCUUCUAGUUAAAGGGAGGGAAGUUUUUUUCUCUCUUCCUCCUUUUUCUCUGCCAUUGCCACCUUUCAUACGCUAUUUCUGUGCUUUCAUGUGCCCUUUUUUGUUAGGAGUUGCUAAUAAUAUUUUUUUGUUUGCUUGUCAAAAAAAUAAUGGUUGUAGUGGCAAACUAUUUAAGGUUCUGCAGCAUCAGAGGCUCCAUUUAAGGUUCUGAGCAAAGAUCAUGCAUAAUAAACAUUGUAGAUGAUAAGAAAUCUUUAUUUAAGAAAACGCACUUCCAUAUAUGUGAAUCUAAAAGAUAAAAGAAGUAACCUUUGAAACUACCAACAAUUAACACCCAUACACACAAAAUAAAAACCAGUCCUAUCAAACAUACCCCGAUGCAAGAAGUGAACCAGCCGGACUCCAUGCACAAGCACAAACCUACAAGAAAAAAAAAUGAAUAUGCUAAGAAAACGGAGGGUAAAAAAAGGAAAAGCAAAAGACAAUGUCACAAACCUCAGAAGUAUGCCCUUCCAGAAUUGUCACAUCAGAACUUGGAAUUUCACAGGCCUGAAAUGUUGAACUUGUGGAGAUAUCCAUUGGUUCUGGUCCUACAAAACACAUACAAAGAACUAUCACAAUUUAUAUUUAUACGAUAUAUCGGGAUUGUAGCUUUCAUGAGCCAUCAACACAAUUAGUAACGCUCUUCUUCUCAUGAAUAAAAUUGUACUAAAAACUUGUUAAAGCCAAAGGUACUUGGGAAGUAUAAAUCAAAAGAUUCCUACACCCAACCAAGAAAGCACAAACCACUACCUCGCCAACCAGAAAGAAAAGGAUGGUCCACAGAUUUAGAAUCCCCAUUACAUUUGUAACAUAUUAGGGAUCACACAUUUCAUGCUGGUCAAGUGAUCCUCAGUUAAGCACUCAUCUCUUACAGUAGUCUGAGGGGAAAAAGGGGCCACUACAGGAGCAAAACAACCAAAACGUUGUAGGAAUCUCAACAAAGAGUAAACAGAAUCGAAGGAAGAUAUUAAACAAGAAGUUGUUUUUGUUUUUAUGAGAAAUAGAAGAUUUUUUGAGAAUGUGGAACUUUCAAUCCAAAGGCUGAAAUACUUGUUUUUGUGUAACUUGUUUUUUUUUUUUUGAUAAGUAAACGAUUAUAUUAACGAAGGCAAAAAGCCGAAGAGCAUACAGGGAGUAUACAAGGCUACAAACCCUAAACCAAAAAACAAAAGAACCCAACCCCUACUUGGAAGCUAUCCAUUCCAAGAAACCUAUAAGGGAAUUCGACUCCAUAUCAAUGUACACUUAAGCCCAACCCCAAAAAUUAUACACAAACGAAGUCUUUAAUUUCUGAAAGGCUAACACACCCCCUUUAAAGGCAAGCCUAUUCCUCUCCUUCCAAAUUGUCCAAAAAAUGAAAAGCGGGAUGGACUUCCACACUUUCUUCCUUUUUCUCCCCACAAAAGAGCCUUUCCAACUACUAAGAACCUCCUUUACAGAAUUAGGAAAGACCCACUGUACACCACACAACGCAAGAAUAAUAUCUCAUAAACCUUUUGCCACCGUACAAUGAAUUAACAUAUGAUUGAUAGUUUCCUCUUCACAUCCACACAAGAAGCACCGAUUAGGGAAGUGCCAUCCUCUUCUCUGCAACCUAUCCAAUGUAAGGACCUUCCCCCAAGUAGCUUCCCAAGCAAAGAAAAUAAUUUUUGUUGGAACUUUGGCCACCCAAACAUUGCUAUGAGGGAAAACCGCUUCAUCAGCAUUAAUCAACACCCUAUACGCUUCCUUAACUUUAAACAGCCCGUCCGCUCCUCCCCUCCAAAAAAACGAAUCUUCCUCCAUAGAUACUCUAUAAUUCCUCAACUCAACUAACAUAUUGUCCACCAACCCCAAUUCCCAAUCAUUGAAGUCUCUCAACAGUCUUAAACUCCACCCUCCUUGACUCAGAUUCUGAUCCCAAUAAUCCUCCACAGUGGCGUUCCUUUGGGCAGCCAUGGAGAAGAGGUCCGGGAAAGCUUCGGACAGCAUGUUGUUUCCACACCAAGGAUCAAUCCAAAACCUUACUUUAUUGCCUUUUCCCACCUUGAAUACCAUGUUAUCCCAACACCAAGUGGACUCCUUCAGAAUAUCCUUCCACACACCAACCCCAAACACCCCAUUUGCCUUCCUUGUUCUCCACCCAAACUCCUCUUGCCCAUACUUAGCCUCAAGCACUUUUUUCCACAGCUCCUCCUUAGCCCGCGCAAACCUCCAAAUCCAUUUGCCUAGAAGAGCUUUGUUUAACCAAAUCAACUUUCUUAACCCCAACCCUCCCUUCUUUUUAUCCAUACACACAACCUCCCACUUGAUUAGAUGAGCCUUAUUCCCCCCAUUGGCUCCUCCCCACAAAAAAUUCCUUUGAAGCUUUUCCAGUCUUCUUGCCACUGAUUUAGGCAUGCGGAAUAAUGACAUUUGAUACAAAGGAAUGCUGGCCAGCGUGCUCUUAAUGAGAGUAAUUCUCCCUCCUUUGGACAGAAAUUGACGCUUCCAAAGAGCAAGCUUCCUCCUCAUUUUCCCCUCCACCCCAUCCCAAACGGAGGAGGCCCUAUUAGGCACCCCAAGGGGCAGCCCCAAAUAAACAGUGGGCAACUGUCCCACCUUACACCCAAUUUCAGCAGCCAUAUCAAGCGCCCCUUCCACCUCCCCUACCGGAAUGACCAUGCUUUUCUCCAAAUUUAUUUUUAAACCUGAGGCGGCCUCGAACCAUAAGAGGAUCCAGCUCAAGUACAACAGGGACUCUUUUUUUGCCUCACAAAAGACAAUUGUAUCAUCCGCAAACAGGAGAUGAGUUAUGUUGACGGGCUGCCCUCUUCCUUUCCAUAUCCUACAGCCAUAGAUGAACCCCCCUUCAACGGCCCUCGAUAUUAACGCACUAAGGACUUCCAUUCCCAUGAUAAAUAAGUAGGGGGAUAGGGGAUCCCCUUGCCUAAGCCCUUUAGAACUUGAAAAGAAACCAGCUGGAACCCCAUUCACCAGCAUUGAGUAUUUGAUAGUAGAAAUACAGCUCCACAUCCAUCUUAUCCAUUUUGAUCCGAAGCCCAUCUUAUGCAUAACCUUUAAUAAAAACUGCCAAUUGAUACUAUCAAACGCCUUCUCAAUGUCCAACUUACAAAUUAGGCCUUUCUCUCCCCUUUUUUGCCAAGAGUCUAUUACCUCAUUUGCGAUUAGGGAACCGUCAAGAAUCUGUCUCCCUUUGAUGAAGGCGUUCUGAUCAGGAGAAAUCACCUUAUCUAUGAUUUUUUUGAGCCUAUUGGCCAGCACCUUAGCCAAUAAUUUAUAAAGACCCCCAAGCAAACUGAUUGGCCUGUAGUCCCCCAAAUCCUCUGCCCCCCCUUUCUUCGGAAUCAAGAACAGAAAUGUAUGGUUUAGGCUCUUGGUGAAAGAAUUCUGAUCAUAAAACUCUUUGAACAUAUCCAAGACAUCCUCCUUGACAAUCUCCCAACAAUUUUGCCAAAAUGCUACAGUGAAACCAUCCGGAACCGGGGCUUUGUCCCCAUUCAUCCCCAUUAAUGCAGCAUAGAUCUCAGCCUCAGAGAAAGGGAACUCAAGAGCUUCCGCUUCUGAGAGGCUGAUCUGCUUCAGCACAAGGCCCCCUAUAUCCGCCUUCCAAUCCGAGCUUUCCGAAAGAAGUUGCUGAUAAGCAUUUACUAUUCCAUCCCUCACUUCUUGAUCCUCUGUAAGCCUCACCCCAUUAAUCUUAAUUUUGAUCAGAUUAUUGACUCUCCUGUGGGCAUUAGCCAUACGGUGAAAGAAUCCCGUGUUCCUAUCCCCUUCCCUAAGCCAUAGUUCCCUUGAUAGCUGUCUCCAGUGCACUUCUUCCAUCGACACCCAUUUUGAAUAAUUCUCCUUAGCUGUUUUUUUGUGACCUAACUCCUCCUCUGAUAAAAUCCUCUCUUCUUCCACUACAUCCCAUCGCUCCACUUGUUGAAGGGCUUCAGCUUUGUUUUUCUCCAACCUUCCAAAAACCUCCUUAUUCCAGAUCUUUAAAUUGUGUUUCAGGCCCCUCAUCUUAGCUGCUAACCUGUAGCUCGGCCUUUCUCUAACCACUAUCCCUUGCCACCACCCCUCUAUCAGCUCUUUGAAUCCCUCAGCUUUGAGCCACAUGUUUUCAAAUUUGAAGGGGUAAGGACCUCUCCUUAGGCCACCUCCCUCAAGCAAAAUCGGAAAAUGAUCCGAGGUUGGGCGAGGCAAUCUUCUUUGACUUGGACCAAACUGUUUAUAGGUGAAAGAUUGAUGUCCAUAAUAGAUUUCAUUGAUAGGUUGAGGUCAGUUUGAGGGAGGGAGCAGCUUUUUGUUUUCUCUUCCUUUUUUUAGCGCUUUUUAAUAUAAAUCUCAUUUACUAAUCAAUAUAUAUAUAUAUAUAUAUAUAUAUAUAUAUAUAUAUAAACAAGAAGUUGCCUAGUCCCUUUCUCCAUGACAUCCCAUCCUCCAAGAACCCUCUAGCAAAAUUUACCGCAUAGAGCUUCUAAAAGAAUUCAUAACCAACCUAAGUACACUUCCAUUCAAAAAGAACCUCACACCAAAAAUCUAACCCAAAAACAUCACCCUUACAGUUCCUUGACCUUAUGAGCUAAGCCCUUUACCAAAUGCAACCAAUCCUUUCAGAUUACAAAGGUCAAUCCCUCAACUUCUUUUUUCUUUUUUCCUUUUUAUUAAUUAUUAAUAGGUAACUUCCUUUUUUUUUUCUUUUUCUUUUUCUUUUUUUGGAUAUAUGAAAUCUAACCCCUUCACUAAAGUCAGGCCUCAAGGACAACCUUCCCUAACUUCAUUUUAGCACCAUUCAUACUUCACACCAAAAUACUCCUCAACUGCCACUCCCUUUUGUAAAUGACCAAAUUCACUCAUGGUCUUAGGAGAACAAAUAAUACCAACGUCCCCAACUGCCUAGGCAAUAAAAUGGAACCUCCAUGCCAAAUAACUAAAAAUUACAAAGGCAUCAAUCCAUCUUUUCUGGAGGCCAAGAUCAUUCCACAACCCCAG
RNAcentral lists this long non-coding RNA (33461 nucleotides) under Vitis vinifera (wine grape). RNAcentral's name for it is "long non-coding RNA (VVIN_LNC002253)". The stretch from base 9420 to 9492 matches the Rfam family "tRNA". The record is from RNAcentral. Lineage: Eukaryota; Viridiplantae; Streptophyta; Magnoliopsida; Vitales; Vitaceae.